GAGUAACGCGUAGGUAUUCUACCCUUAUGACUGGGAUAACAUUGGGAAACUGGUGCUAAUACCGGAUACACUUCUUUACUGCGGGGUAAAGGAGGAAAGGUGGCCUCUUCAUGAAAGCUACCGUAUAGGGAUGAGCCUGCGUACCAUUAGCUAGUAGGCGGGGUAACGGCCCACCUAGGCAACGAUGGUUAGCGGGUCUGAGAGGAUGAUCCGCCACACUGGAACUGGAACACGGACCAG
Molecule: ribosomal RNA, 240 nt
Filed under: uncultured bacterium
Lineage: Bacteria
Description: partial 16S ribosomal RNA
Rfam family: Bacterial small subunit ribosomal RNA
Source: RNAcentral